This 69-nucleotide transfer RNA is filed under the name Coleoptera sp. ACP-2013. Its description in RNAcentral is "tRNA-Ala". Lineage: Eukaryota; Metazoa; Arthropoda; Insecta; Coleoptera. The record is from RNAcentral.
UAGGGUAAUAGUUUAAUAUAAUAACAUUUAAUUUGCAAUUAAAAAAUAUUGAAAUUUACAAUUUACCUU